UCUUCUUCUUCUUCGUUCUACUUCUCUGUUCUUCUAUUUUCUUCUUCUCUCCUUAUCUGUUGCUGUUCGAGAGAUGAAAUUGAGGAUUUAAGUUGUAUGAUUGAUAGAUAAGAAUCCAGAUAAAUAGAUGAAUCAAAGAAGGUGUUGUUGUUGGAGUUGUUCAAGUUCUAGAAGAAAGAUUGGGAGUGAGUUGGGGUUUCUGAGAAAAGGAAUCGACUAAGGAUUUACGGGAUAUUGAUUAGGAAAUCAAUUAUAUGGAGAUGGGUUUCAUGUGUUGAUUGCAGAGAAGAAGAUGUUAUUGUGAAUCAGAAGAAAAUCAAAUUAGGGGCACAUAGUUGAUUUAGGUUAUAAAGAUUUAAGAGAUGAAAUUGAAGCUUUAAAAGGUUGAUUAAAGGUGGGUUUGACGUGAAUUCGAGUAUAGGUUGAAGAAUACUUGAAGACUUACAGUUAGGGUUUAUAAGUACUCACUGGAGGUUUGAAUAAUGGAUAAGAAGAAAUAAAAGAUGAAUUCGAUAUCCUAUGAAGGAGAUUUGAGAUGGGUUUGUUGAUAUGAAGACUUAUGUUGCUGUUUUGGGUUCGAAUUAGAGAAGUCUUGUUUGGGAAUGGAAGUAGGGUCUGAUGUAGUUGAAUUAGGGUUUAUUAUGAACUGAUGCUGCUGAUGAGGAUAGUCGAGAUGGUUAGUUGAAUUAGGUGAUAAAUAGGAGAAUGAUUUCAAUUACUUGAGAAGCUGUUAUCAGGUAAUUGUUAUUCCAAUUUAAUUUUAUUCAAGUUGUGUAUUUUGGUUUGUUGAAGUAUAUGUUAAUGAAGCUAAGAUUUGGGGUGAAUGAUUAUCAAAAAUGUACUAGCUGUAGAAGGGUGAAAAUGAAUUGUAUCACUAAGUAUGUAACUGGGGAGUUGUCAUGAUUGCAGGUGCAAGUAAAAUGAAUGUGUAUGUUGGUAGUUAAUUGAGUUGAUGUGCAAGUUGAGAUGUUGUUGAGUCAUGAGAUGAUUCUGCAGGUGGAUGUAAUUGAGUACGUUGGAGGUCUGUUAUUGAAUUGCAGUCGAAUCUUGCUCAGACAUGCAGGGGAGUUGGAUGAUUGAUUGUGAUGAACAUGAAGAAACUGAUAGCGCUGUGUGUAUUGUGAAUUGAAGUUUGUAUAGAAUGAAGCUGUUUUGGAUGAUUGAUUGUGAUGUGAGAUUGCAGGCGAUAUUGAACUGGUGGUGCUGGAGUGGUUAAGAUGGAUAUGUUUUGGUGUGGUCAUGGGAGUUGUAUUGUAGUAGUUUAUAGAAUGAAUGGUUCCUGAAGUUUCAGUCCAUGAAGAAUGGUGAAUUCAGAGUUGUAGAUUGUUUUUGCUGUGAAAGCUGGUUACUGCUUUUUCAGUUUCAGAGACAGAUCAGAGUUGCGCUGCGAAAGCUUCAAGUGUUGAUUUUAUUAGUUGGUUAGCUUCUGCUAUGUUUGUUAUGUUGUAUAUUCUAUUUGUAAACCAUAUGACUAUUAUUUAUGUAUCAUUUGAGAGAAGCGUUUGUAUAUAUACAUUUCAGAAUGCGGCUAGUUUUGGGUUAAGUUUUAUAACAGAUUUCUUAAUUGAAUGUUUAAGUAAAUGAUUUAGAUUU
Molecule: long non-coding RNA, 1593 nt
Organism: Papaver somniferum (opium poppy)
Lineage: Eukaryota; Viridiplantae; Streptophyta; Magnoliopsida; Ranunculales; Papaveraceae
Exons: 2
Source: RefSeq, a predicted model, not a curated record